UAUUGCACAACGGCGGAAACUCUGAUGCAGUGACACCGCGCAUAGGAAGAAGGUUUUCUGAUUGUAAACUAUUUUAGACAGGGAAGAAAAAAGACAGCACCUGUAGAAUAAGCUCCGGCUAACUACGUGCCAGCAGCCGCGGUAAUACGUAGGGAGCAAGCGUUAUCCGGAAUUAUUGGGUGUAAAGGGUGCGUAGACGGGACAGCAAGUUAGUUGUGAAAGCCCUCGGCUUAACUGAGGAACUGCAACUAAAACUAUUGUUCUUGAGUGCAGGAGAGGAGAGCGGAAUUCCUAGUGUAGCGGUGAAAUGCGUAGAUAUUAGGAGGAACACCGGUGGCGAAGGCGGCUUUCUGGACUGUAACUGACGUUGAGGCACGAAAGUGUGGGGAGCAAACAGG
This 398-nucleotide ribosomal RNA is filed under the name uncultured bacterium. Its description in RNAcentral is "bacterial SSU rRNA". It matches the Rfam family "Bacterial small subunit ribosomal RNA", at positions 362 to 776 of the family's 1533-position model. The record is from RNAcentral.